AUUGAACGCUGGCGGCAUGCCUUACACAUGCAAGUCGAACGGUAACAGGUCUUCGGAUGCUGACGAGUGGCGAACGGGUGAGUAAUACAUCGGAACGUGCCUAGUAGUGGGGGAUAACUACUCGAAAGAGUGGCUAAUACCGCAUGAGAUCUACGGAUGAAAGCAGGGGAUCGCAAGACCUUGUGCUACUAGAGCGGCCGAUGGCAGAUUAGGUAGUUGGUGGGAUAAAAGCUUACCAAGCCGACGAUCUGUAGCUGGUCUGAGAGGACGAUCCGCCGCAUGGGGACUGACACACGGCCCAGACUCCUACGGGAGGCAGCGGUGGGGAAUUUGGGACAAUGGGCGAAAGCGUGAUCCAGCAAUGCCGCGUGAAGGAUGAAGUCUUUGGGGUUGUAACCUGUUUUUGUACGGAACGAAAACCCUGGGGUUAAGCCCGUGGGGUCAUGCCGGAACCGUAAGAAUAAGCACCGGCUAACUACGUGCAAGCCCCCGCCUUAA
Molecule: ribosomal RNA, 498 nt
Filed under: uncultured bacterium
Lineage: Bacteria
Description: partial 16S ribosomal RNA
Rfam family: Bacterial small subunit ribosomal RNA
Source: RNAcentral